GGGGAAUCUUCCGCAAUGGACGAAAGUCUGACGGAGCAACGCCGCGUGAGUGAUGACGGCCUUCGGGUUGUAAAGCUCUGUUAAUCGGGACGAAAGGCCUUCUUGCGAAUAGUUAGAAGGAUUGACGGUACCGGAAUAGAAAGCCACGGCUAACUACGUGCCAGCAGCCGCGGUAAUACGUAGGUGGCAAGCGUUGUCCGGAAUUAUUGGGCGUAAAGCGCGCGCAGGCGGAUUGGUCAGUCUGUCUUAAAAGUUCGGGGCUUAACCCCGUGAUGGGAUGGAAACUGCCAAUCUAGAGUAUCGGAGAGGAAAGUGGAAUUCCUAGUGUAGCGGUGAAAUGCGUAGAUAUUAGGAAGAACACCAGUGGCGAAGGCGACUUUCUGGACGAAAACUGACGCUGAGGCGCGAAAGCCAGGGGAGCGAACGGGAUUAGAUACCCCGGUAGUCCUGGCCGUAGACGAUGGGUACUAGGUGUAGGAGGUAUCGACCCCUUCUGUGCCGGAGUUAACGCAAUAAGUACCCCGCCUGGGGAGUACGACCGCAAGGUUG
RNAcentral lists this ribosomal RNA (549 nucleotides) under uncultured bacterium. RNAcentral describes it as "bacterial SSU rRNA". It matches the Rfam family "Bacterial small subunit ribosomal RNA", at positions 356 to 896 of the family's 1533-position model. The record is from RNAcentral.